Molecule: long non-coding RNA, 435 nt
Filed under: Taeniopygia guttata (zebra finch)
Lineage: Eukaryota; Metazoa; Chordata; Aves; Passeriformes; Estrildidae
Description: lncRNA (ENSTGUG00000026893.1)
Source: RNAcentral
GUGCUGGCCAGCUCUCCUGCACUGCCACAGCCACAGAGUCAAAGCUCCAGGAAGAGCCAACGGAAUCAGGAAAUACAAGCAAGAGCCAUGGGGAGGUGGAGAACAUUUGCUAUCUGUGCCUCUGAUGAGCCAGCCUCAUCAGCCAUGAUGCAUCACUUCUCAGUUUGCUGCAGAAGGAGGAAGGCUGUUCUCGUGUCCAAGUUGUGCCUGGUGUUACUACCAAAAGAUGCCUGAAGAGCUUACAGGCAUCUGGGCAGAAUGCAUUUUUGGCUUCAGUGUCUCAGAAAAAGAGCCCACCAAACCAAACAAAGCUGAUUUCAGAGAGGGCUGCUUUUCAUUCUGCUGAUAACUAUACCUCAUGCUGGGAUAUUCUCCAGGACUGUCCUGUGUACCACCAGAUACACUGGACCAGCUGCACCUCAGCAUCCCUUCCCA